RNAcentral lists this ribosomal RNA (497 nucleotides) under uncultured bacterium. Its description in RNAcentral is "partial 16S ribosomal RNA". It matches the Rfam family "Bacterial small subunit ribosomal RNA", at positions 28 to 507 of the family's 1533-position model. The record is from RNAcentral.
GAUGAACGCUGGCGGCGUGCCUAAUACAUGCAAGUCGAGCGAACAGAUGAGGGGCUUGCUCCUCUGACAUUAGCGGCGGACGGGUGAGUAACACGUGGGUAACCUACCUAUAAGACUGGGAUAACUUCGGGAAACCGGAGCUAAUACCGGAUAUUAUAUUGAACCGCAUGGUUCAAUAGUGAAAGAGGUUUUUGCUGUCACUUAUAGAUGGAUCCGCGCCCAAUUAGCUAGUUGGUAAGUUAACGGCUUACCCAGUCAACGAUGCGUAGCCGACCUGAGAGGGUGAUCGGGCACACGGGAAAUGAGACACGGUCCAGAGUCCUACGGGAGACGGCAGUAGGGAAUGGUCCGCAAUGGGCGAAAGCCUGACGGAGCAACGCGGCGUGAGGGAUGAAGGUCUUCGGAUCGUAAGACUCUGUUAUUAGGGAAGAACAAAUGUGUAGGUAACUAUGCACGUCUUGACGGUACCUAAUCAGAAAGCCACGGCUAACUACGUG